Molecule: ribosomal RNA, 274 nt
Filed under: uncultured bacterium
Lineage: Bacteria
Description: partial 16S ribosomal RNA
Rfam family: Bacterial small subunit ribosomal RNA
Source: RNAcentral
AUACGGAGGGUGCAAGCGUUACUCGGAAUCACUGGGCGUAAAGCGCGCGCAGGCGGCUUGAUAAGUUGGAUGUGAAAGCCUACGGCUCAACCGUAGAACUGCAUCCAAAACUAUUGGGCUAGAGUGUGGGAGAGGAAGAUGGAAUUAGUUGUGUAGGGGUAAAAUCCGUAGAGAUAACUAGGAAUACCAAAAGCGAAGGCAAUCUUCUGGAACAUUACUGACGCUGAGGCGCGAAAGCGUGGGGAGCAAACAGGAUUAGAAACCCCGGUAGUCC